UGGGGAAUUUUGCACAAUGGGCGCAAGCCUGAUGCAGCGACGCCGCGUGAGGGAUGAAGGCCUUCGGGUUGUAAACCUUUUUCGCUCAUGGUCAAGCCGCAGCUUUGGGUUGUGGUGAGGGUAGUGGGUAAAGAAGCGCCGGCUAACUACGUGCCAGCAGCCGCGGUAAUACGUAGGGCGCGGGCGUUGUCCGGAAUUAUUGGGCGUAAAGGGCUUGUAGGCGGUUGGCCGCGUCUGCCGUGAAAUCCUCUGGCUUAACUGGGGGCGUGCGGUGGGUACGGGUUGACUUAAGGGCGGUAAGGGAGACUGGAAUUCCUGGUGUAGCGAUUGAAUGCGCAGAUGUCGGGAGGAACACCGGUGGCGAAGGCGGGUCUCUGGGCCGUUAAUGACGCUGCGGAGCGAAAGCGUGGGGAGCGAACAGG
Molecule: ribosomal RNA, 422 nt
Filed under: Verrucomicrobiota bacterium
Lineage: Bacteria; Pseudomonadati; Verrucomicrobiota
Description: Verrucomicrobia bacterium partial 16S ribosomal RNA
Rfam family: Bacterial small subunit ribosomal RNA
Source: RNAcentral